Oncorhynchus tshawytscha (Chinook salmon) is the source of this 12223-nucleotide long non-coding RNA. The record is from Ensembl. NCBI's taxonomy places the organism in Eukaryota, Metazoa, Chordata, Actinopteri, Salmoniformes, Salmonidae.
CCUUUUACCUCAGCAGCAGGGGCCUCAUCAUCGUCUGGAGAUGGGAUGAUCCUGCCGGUCAUGGGGCCGACCCCCAGGACUUUGGGCCUCUUAUCAGUCUUGGCUGCUCCCUCCAGCACCACUACAAUGUACUCCUUCUUGGGCGCCUCCACAGGUGCCACCACCACAACUGGGGCAGCCUCCACUGCAGCUGGGGCCUCUUUCAUCGCAGCCUCUUCUACGGGUGGGGACUCUUCUACGGGUGGGGCAGCUGGGACCUCCUCCACUGCAGCUGGGGCCUCCUCCACUGCAGCCUCCUCCACCUCAGGUGGGGUCUCUUCUAUGGUUGGGGCCUCUUCUACGGGUGUGGCCUCAAGUGGGGCAGCUGGGGCCUCCUCCACUGCAGCCUCCUCCACUGCAGCUGGGGCCUCCUUCACUGCAGCCUCUUCAAUGAGUUCAGCCUCAAGUGGGGCAGCUGGGGCCUCCUCCACAGCAGCCGGGGCCUCCUCCACAGCAGCCGGGGCCUCUUCCACAGCAGCCGGGGCCUCUUCCACUGCAGCCGGGGCCUCUUCCACUGCAGCCGGGGCCUCUUCCACUGCAGCCGGGGCCUCUUCCACUGCAGCCGGGCCUCUUCCACUGCAGCCGGGGCCUCUUCCACUGCAGCCGGGGCCUCUUCCACUGCAGCCGGGGCCUCUUCCACUGCAGCCGGGGCCUCUUCCACUGUAGCCGGGGCCUCCUCCACUGCAGCCGGGGCCUCCUCCACUGCAGCCGGGGCCUCUUCUACAGGUGCAGCCUCAAGUUGAGCAGCUGGGGGCUCCUCCACUGCAGCUGGGUCCUCUUCUACGGGUGCAGCCUCAAGUGGGGCAGCUGUGGCCUCCUCCACUGCAGCUGUUCCCUCCUCCACUGCAGCUGUGGCCUCCUCCACUGCAGCUGGGGACUCCACUGAGGCGGCCUCCUCGACUUCUUCUACAAUAGGCACAACCACUUCUUUGACCACUUCAGCGACUGUCGUCACCUCCAAAGCAGAGGCUGCUGCCAGAAUGACUGGUUCCACUGCAAGACAGAACCCAGCGCCCAAACAUCACUCACACUCAUGUUACAAAAAGACUGACUCACAAUUUAUCUCCAACUCAAUCAACAUAGCACAUAUGCACCCAGUGUGACAGAAGAAAGGAGAUCCAGGAAAACAGAGUUAGACAUGCCAACGUGAACAUUGUAGAAGUCUGUGCACAAUUCCCACGAGAUGGUGAAAGACGCAUUCUUGUUUAAAUAGUACAGUUUGACCAAAACCCUUACGGUCUCACCCCACUGUGUGGGUUAGGGAGAAUACACAGACCAACACGUAGCCAUUAGGCAGACAGAGGUCACAGGGAGAAGACCGACAAGGCAGCUUGCCAUGCAAAAACGUGACAUUAGUUAGAAAAAAACGAUGAUUUGUACAGACAUAGGUGUUAGCUUGUGCUUCUUCAGAUAGAAAGGCAAUCCGAAUGUGUUGAGACUACUUUUAGGUCACCCGUGCAUUUUUGUUGCGUUUGCAUCAACAUUGCACAGAUCAAAGUGUACUUUAACCAUGCAUUGACCUCUAUUGCAUGCAUCACUUGCUCCCCAAAAGUCCCAUAUCUAAAAGUUCCGCUGGACCAGUCAUUAAAACCUCUAUUUGUUGCACAUGAUGGUGAAUGAUGCAAAGCAGAAAUGCAUUGGACCAAUGCAGACUGUCAGGCUAUGGCAAGAAUGUACCCGCCAGAGCAUUGAGUGACCGCAAAACAUUGGGUGGUUUCGAGAGAGUUAGGAUGGAGCCUACUGUUGCAGAACUUCAACAUACAGGGUAGCAGUGGCAUGGGUGUAGAUGGCAUCGAAAUAAAGAUGCGGUGACAGGAGAAGCAUUGAAUGGAAGAGGGCACAGGAAGCAGUAGAAGUAACGAAGGAACAGUGUGUGGAAUAGCAGUUAACUGUACAUGACCAUUCCCCAUAUGGUGCACCUAUGCAACGCAACAUGCCUUUUAAGUGUGAACGAGUCAUUUCUAAUGUGAAUAGAAGACAUUCCAAAAAUAAGUCAUCAGAACAUACAGCAAAGACAGUACUUUUGCAUGUUGUCCACCAUCCUUCAUUAAAAAAAAAAUCAAAAAGAGGCCACCGCAAAUAAAAUAAAAUGCCUUCCUGACAAAUAUCACAAAGGAACACACACCAAAUGGGAUAAUGGUUUGAUUUCAAACAUUUGUCUUGAACUAGGGAGCUUUUCUGAUAUGUGUCCUGGGCUAAAGUAAAUUGUUUGUUGACUCAUGGGGUAACAGUGCAGAGGUGAAUGAACUCCUAGUGUCAGUGUGGUGGAUUUAUCCCUAGGUUCUUCAUGGUACAACCCGCAUAAUAUUAGAUCGGAAGUGUAUUGUCUUGUCAUUUGUCCUCGUGAUGGAAACCAUUGCUGCUUUGGAAAGACCUUGUAGGACACCCGAAAACCCUACAAGCAUAGCGUAUUAGCACAAGCAAACCAAACCCAGACAAACUCAACACGGGAGGGGAUCUUUCCAGUCAUUUUAUUGUAUGGCUCGAUGAAUUCCCUGAAUCACUUACACGACGACUCACUACGUUAGCUGUUUAAAAAAAAGAGCAAAUCUGAAUGACCACACAUGGUUGAUUUCCUCACAUUUUAACCUUGCGAGGUCAUUCCCUCCAAGUUCCACUUUUACAGUUAAGAAUGAAAACACACGGCAACCGUUUGUUUUGUUACAGCUACAGAGCUUGCACAGGUUUCAGCGUUUGUCUGUACGAGCAGAAGCCAUCACGCGGCUACAGAGGGUUUAGUGAAACAAAGUUAAAGUUACAUCGGCAUGUACCAACUCCGUGAUAUCUGGCAGAGAAGCAUAAGUUAAGAGGCGUAGAAAUGUACAGUUAUCCAUGUAAUAUCUCCCCAAAAAAGCCUGAGUAUUAGUGGUUGGUUGGCCGUGGACUGGUCUUACACAUUACAAAACAAAAUAAGAUAAUCAAAUGGAGCAUUUGAGGUGUUUUCCUGUUUGUGUUUGCAUGCGGCAUCGGGCCUCUGAGGGAAGGUAGGGGAGAGGUUAAAGGACAUUGAUACGUGAGGUCAGUGGAGCUUUGUAAACAGUGUUUGAGAGGAAGAAGGGAGAGAGGGAAGGGGUGAAUAAAGGUAGUUUGGAGGGGGAAAGGGGAAAUAAGCAGGUUUUUCAUCACAUUUCACUAUUGGGGGGAGGGGGCACAGUGAUUUGCACUAUUGUGUAUUUCCAUCCUUACUGUGAUAUGAGGUUGAGAUGGAUGACAUCACUGCCACUUUCUAAAAAGGUCUCACAGCGGUGAUCUGCUGUUCUGACUGAAUUCACAUGUAAAAGCUGUUUCAGCACUUUUACCAUCUGCUGGACUCACAACAAAUAUCCUGUACAUAGUCAGGAGAUUUUGAAAUACAGAAAAUCAAACCCCACACAAAAACCUUGAAGCUUCUGUCUUCUAGCUUUAAACACUUUCACUUACAAAACCAGCCAUACCAUUAUUUACUCUCUGCCCUCUAAGUAAACUCGAAUAAACUAGUAAAUAAAGUGUUCUCUUCGAGAGAAUAACCUUCACGGCAGAGGAGUCUAGCUCUACAGUGGUUUUAGAACCAGGUGAGAUCAGUGUUAGACGCUGUAGUGGUACUCUAUGGUGUAGGAACAGUGUACACAUAAUCUCCCUGUUGUUGCUGUCCUAUCGGAGUGCGUGUUCGGGCUGGUGGUGGACAGCGUGUGCCUCCCUGUGGUGUGUGUGCGUUACUCAGCAGCAACAGCAGCCUCUGGGACUGCCUCCUCCUCUGGGCCCGUACCGUUGAUCUCCUCCUCCGGCUCUUCCACGGCAACUGCCUCCUCAGCAGCCUCUUCCACGGCCACUUCCUCUGCUACUGCCUCCACUUCAUUUGCCACCUCGAUGACCUCUUCUGCGACCUCAGCAACAGCCUCUGUAAUCUCCUCCACCACAGUCUCCGCUUCCGCUGGUGCCACCUCUGCCUCUACUGCCGCUGCCUCCACAGCCGGUUCUUCAGAGACUGCCUCGGCCGCUGCUUCUGCCUCUACUGCCGCUGCCUCCACAGCCGGUUCUUCAGAGACUGCCUCGGCCUCUGCUUCUGCCUCGACUGAGGCCUCUUCCGCGGGUUCUGCUCCGUUUUCCGCCGCUACAGCCUCCUCAACUGCAGCCUCCUCUCCAGCCUCUUCUGCUGCUGCCUCCUCCUCCUCUCCUCCCUCCUCAGCCGCCUCCUCUGCUUCCUCCUCUACUCCCCAGGCUGCUGCUUCCUCACCUGAAAUUUUAAAAAAGAGUGAGAGAGAGAGACAGAAAAAGAUAUGAAUCAGUAAAGAUGGCAUGGGCCUUUGAAACACUGCCUGAGGAAGCUUUACAACACGAAAUAAGUAAGAGUAUUUGCAGGGCAUGUGAAAUACACUACUCACGCCUACAUAACACUAGCCUGUAAUAUAACAGAAUAUUCCGAUAAAGUACUACGUCUAUGUUUUUAUCUUAAAUCAUAUUUACAUUCAUUACUUAUCAUUUAGCUGCCGUGUACACAACCACACACUGAAACAAUCACACAACGCAUCACACACGCCCAUGCCACUCAUCUUACCACACCUCCGGCUCAUACCACACUCCACAGAAGAGAAUUCAAUCCACUACAGAAGAGAAUUCACUGCAGAACCACAUGCAAAGCCCAACGAGACAAGAGAGAAAGGGAGGGGAGAAAGGGAGAAAAACAACAAAAGGAGAGGAGCAAAAUGAAAGUGACAUAGGGGAGGUAUACAGGAUCAGGGGUUAGAGGUCAGAGGGUGGACUAAGGAGUGAGGGGAUAAAGAUGGUGAAUCUUACCAUCCCAUCAAAGCAACCAAUACCUGGAAAUUCCAACAUUAACAGAAAAGCCAGAUGGUUUGUGUGCAUUUAAUUUUAAAUUGAGGCAGUCUGUCUGUUUACACAUUUAUCCAUCAACACGAUUCCAUCCUGGAAGACGCCACAAAAACAGUUCAUCAAAUAAAUACAAAAUUGGGGCAACACAUAGAACGAAGUGUCCAGAGGAGAAACGUUCAGAAACAGACAGAAGUUGAACGUAUGGGACGUAAGCAGGACUUGUUCGGUCAUACAGGAGAAGGAGGAAAGUAGGAGAUUUCCCCCUUUUCAGAUUCAUCCAAAGAGUCCAGCAGGCUAUAAAGUCCCCUGACGUAUAGCCAAUUUAGUUUUACACUGAAAAGAGUAAAAAUAGGAGAGCGUUAGCGCAAAAAGGAGGAAGAGAACCUUUAACCCAAAAAAGGACUUAAAAUCAGAUUACAAUUUCACCAUUAUCAAAUACGCAAAUGUAACAUCAAAGACUAUGAUCAUCAAAUCCCUACAGGCUUAUCUCAUCAAAAUGACUUAUAAUGCCAACAGUGAAUUAGCAUUCUAGGUGUAAAGGGGCACUAAAAUGACAUCACCUGUUUCAGUUUGACGAGUGGCGUCAGUGUGGACAUUGAGUUUGGUAGGGAAUAAAGACUCUUUAAUAAAGAGGUACGGGUUUACGAGAGGUUGGGGGGGGGUUAACAGUGAGAGAAGAGGGUUUGAAGGGUGGGCACGUUUUGGGGUGGAUCAUACAGUAGGAAAGGAGUAGUGUCAAGGAGGGGAGCCCCCUGUUCUGAUUAACAGGUAUUUCAGCCAAUAGGAUCAGGUUAGGGUCAGACGGGAGAAGCUGGGUGGGGUGGGGCCAGAAAGGAGAGGCUGAGUUUUCUAGUUUCAGAAUCACUCCGAUAAAAAUGUCUAUAUCAAAGUCAUCAACAGGAGUAGGCCAUCUAGAGUUUACCAUCUAGAGAAACCAAGACAUUGUGUACAGGGAACAAACAUUGUGUACAGGGAACAGGUCCUCCCAAAUAUUACCGUCAACAGAAAGUUUUCCAUCAACUACAUGCUUUGGGUCCCCUAACAAUAUUUUUUCUGCCAAUGACAGAAAGCUAAGGCUUUGGGUUGUGAAACUUCCAAAACUAAGUCCAGAAAAUCAGAGCGCAGAACCUGUUCUUGACCUGACACCUUAUCCAGGUGUCAAUUCAAAUAAAUGGUCAUCUGUCUCAGACCAUUAUGCCAGUUCUACUAUAUGUAAAUAGAAAGCAUUUAAGGCCAGAAGGUUGGAAGCACUCAUUGCUGAUAAAUUGGCUGAAUUUUUUUGCAGAUGAGACAAAUGGCUCAGGCAGUUAUUAACCAGAACAGGGAGAUCUCAGAGUGGGCGUAAGAAGCUAUGUGAUUGGUGCUCUGCAGUGACUAACCAAUGAGGAUUUAGGAACCCUACAAUGAUUGGAGACAUCACUACUAACUAUACUGUAGAUUAUCAUCAUGGCAUUUCACAGCAUUUGGCUCAAUCAUUGAAAUAAAAUACAUGAAGACUCCACUCAUUUCAGAGCCCAUGAAUCCGCUCCUUUUCCCCACCAUUGGUCCUCAGAAUUCUGUGAAAUGCAGUUUUGUGGAUGUAUCUAGAGAAAAAUCUAGGUGUGAGUGCACCAAUAGAGAAACAUACAUUUCAAGGCAAUCAGUGAGAGAAUAAUCAAAUCCAUGCCAAGGUACCCUUAGUCUAAGACAACGUUUCAUUGGUCAUUCAGAAAGAGAGUCAUUUAACAGGCUGUGAGUUAUUAUAAAAAUGAAAGACAUUAGCCAGUAGAGCCACACAUAGGCACUCACCCUCCUCUUCCUCAUCCCUGCCUGAAAACAGACACAGAGAAGCACAGUGUCACAGAUUUACAGGGUUUUAUAUGGAUUAUAUACUGAACAAAAAUAUAAAACGCAACAUGUAAAGUGUUGGUCCCAUGUUUCAUGAGCUGAAAUAAAAUAAUCCAGAAAUGUUCCAUAUGCACAAAAAGCUUAUUUCUCUGAAAUGUGUUUAUAUCCCUGUUAGUGAGCAUUUAUCUUUUGCCAAGAUAAUCCAUCCACUUGACAGGUGUGGCUUAUCAAAAAGGUGAUUAAACAGCAUGAUCAUUACACAGGUGCACCUUGUGCUGGGGACAAUAAAAGGCCUUGCUCCCCAGUGGGUGGGCCUACGCCCUCCCAGGCCCACCCAUGGCUGCACCCCUGCCCAGCCAUGUGAAAUCCAUAGAUUAGGGCCUAAUAAAUGUAUUUCAACUGACUGAUUUCCUUAUAUGAACUGUAACUCAGUGAAAUCGUUGAAAUUGAUGCAUGUUGCAUUUAUAUUUUUGUUCAGUGUAAUAUAGGCUAUGGAGUAUAUGGAUGAGAGAUCUACACAAUGAUCCUGCUGCAUGUAAAAUCAGCAAAAAAAGAAAUGUCCCUUUUUCAGGACCCUGUCUUUCAAAGAUAAUUCGUAAAAAUCCAAAUAACAUCAGAGAUCUUCAUUGUAAAGGGUUUAAAUACUAUUUCCCAUGCUUGUUCAAUGAACCAUAAACAAUUCAUGAACAUGCACCUGUGGAACGGUCGUUAAGACACUUACAACUUACAGACGGUAGGCAAUUAAGAUCACAGUUAUGACAACUUACGAUACUAAAGAGGCCUUUGUACGGACUCUGAAAAACACCAAAAGAAAGAUGCCCAGGAUCCCUGCUUAUCUGCUUGAACGUGCCGUAGACAUGCUGCAAGGAGGCAUGAGGACUGCAGAUGUGGCCAGGGCAAUAAAUUGCUAUGUCCGUACUGUGAGACGCCUAAGACAUCGCUACAGGGAGACAGGACGGACAGCUGAUCGUCCUCGCAGUGGCAGACCACGUGUAACAACACCUGCACAGGACCUGUACAUCCGAACAUCACACCUGCGGGACAGGUACAGGAUGGCAACAACAACUGCCCGAGUUACACCAGAAACGCACAAUCCCACCAUCAGUGCUCAGACUAUCCACAAUGUGCUGAGAGAGGCUGGACUAAUGGCAUGUAGGCCUGUUGUAAGGCAGGUCCUCACCAGACAUCACCGGCAAAAAUGUCACCCAUGGGCACAAACCUACCGUCCCUGGACCAGAAAGGACUGACAAAAUGUGCUCUUCAUUGACGAGUCGCGGUUUUGUCUCACCAGGGGUGAUGGUCGGAUUCGCGUUUAUCAUCGAAGGAAUGAGCGUUACACCGAGGCCUGUACUCUGGAGUGGGAUCGAUUUGGAGGUGGAGUGUCUGGGGCGGUGUGUCACAGCAUUAUAGGACUGAGCUUGUUGUCAUUGCAGGCAAUCUCAACGCUGUGCGUUAUAGGGAAGACAUCCUCCUCCCUCAUGUGGUACCCUUCCUGCAGGCUCAUCCUGACAUGACCCUCCAGCAUGACAAUGCCACCAGACAUACUGCUCGUUCUGUGCGUGAUUUCCUGCAAGACAGGAAUGUCAGUGUUCUGCCAUGUCCAGCUAGGAGCCCGGAUCUCAAUCCCAUUGAGCACGUCUGGGACCUGUUGGAUCGGAGGGUGAGGGCUAGGGCCAUUCCCCCCCAGAAAUGUCCGGGAACUUGCAGGUGCCUUGGUGGAAGACUGGGGUAAAAUCUCACAGCAAGACCUGGCAAAUCUGGUGCAGUCCAUGAGGAGAUGCACUGCAGUACUUAAUGCAGCUGGUGGCCACAGCAGAUACUGACUGUUACUUUUGAUCCCCCCCUUUGUUCAGGGACACAUUAUUCCAUUUAUGUUAGUCACAUGUCUGUGGAACUUGUUCAGUUUAUGUCUCAGUUGUGGAAUCUUGUUAUGUUCAUACAAAUAUUUACAUAUGUUAAGUUUGCUGAAUAUAAACACAGUUGACAGUGAGAGGAGUUGUUCUUUUUUUGCUGAGUUUAUAUGAAUGAGGUUGCCGUAGUAUAUAUCUGUCUGAUCUGUACUCAGUUAUGAUAUUGGCAUGGUGUUUUAUUGUCCCCCACGAUGAAAUCUGGGAGGGGACUGUGGAUCUGUCUCCAUACGUCCAUUCGUUCGUCAGUCACACGUGAUAUCUCAGACAGCACUGGGCCGAUUUGGACAAAACUUGGGUGAAUGAUGAGUCUUGCCAUAGAGAUCCGUCAUUUACAAAAUUACACUGAUUUGCCCAAGUCGGGAGCUAUAGCAGUUAACUGGAAUGUGUUAGUCACACGCAAUCUCAGUUGGCCCCAUGGGGGGGGCGCUGCAUCAUUCGUGGGGUACGACAUGUUUAUUGUUGCCUUGUUUAUCUUUUCACACGUGUAUGAGCGUGCAUGAGCGUUUAUGGGUGAGAUAGCCAUGCGCUUGUGUGAUGAUAUCUGUGUAGUUGGAGUUUAGCGUCAUGGUGAAGUCUGCCAAAAUAAACAUCCAUUACAAGUGGACAAUAAAAGCUAGUUGUAUAUCUAAUCUCGUGUUUAUACAGCACCAGUAGAACGAUAUGGUUCUCCCCCAGUGUCAAUAAAUAACCAACUCCCUAGCCACUGUUGGAUGACAUAAUAGCUGCAAGCAUAAAUAGAAUAGUCUUGGACGGGAGAGUGUUUUUGUAAGCAGGAAGUGAUUUUGGCAGAGACGAAAAGGAGUGAUAGUGGGAUACGCAGGUCUCCGACAGCUGCCUGGACACUGAAUAGCAAUGACUUGGUUCGGCCAGAGAAUGUGAGGGGGGCUAGCCUGCUUGGCUAGAAGUCCAUGGUGGUCUGGCCAAAACUACUGACCACUUGUUAUUUCCACACACACACUGUUGGGCUGUCCUGACCCGCGGGCUGGCCUGUCUGUGUCAGAGUUAAUAAUACAUCAUGACAGGAGACACCCUCAGUGUGUGUGUGUGUCUAUUCUAAUGAACUCAGCAGGAUUUCCACUGCAGAAGGAAGGCUCUCCCAGAGGAGAAAAUAGGACACACACACUGAAUAGCCAUGCUACGGCUUUAGGCGCAUGAGCGUGUGUGUGCGGUCCUUCAGUGACAUUCCUCGGACAUGGUGAAAUAAGUCAAGGAUUAUCCAGGCCUCCUGUCCCACAAUCUCUAGCGUGGAUCACAUCCCUCUUUCUCUCACACACAGACAGGACAGAGCUACUGUGCCAACCAUGACUCACGAAUGGAGGGCUUAGGCCACUGUACUGAGAGGGGGGUUAUGGUGUGGGUUGGCAGCUGGUGGGAGUGUAGCAGGUUUCUAUUUUUUAUGCGCCAAUUGAAAAUGCAUUGCAACAGUGGACAAUGAAUAGUUACAGUUGAAGUCAGAAGUUUACAUACGCUUAGGUUGGAGUCAUUAAAACUUGUUUUUCGACCACUCCACAAAUAUCUUGUUUACAAACUGUAGUUUCGGCAAGUCGGUUAGGACAUCUGCUUUGUGCAUGACACAAGUCAUUUUUCCGACAAUUGUUUACAGACAGAUUAUUUCACUUAUAAUUCCCUGUAUCACAAUUCCAGUGGGUCAGAAGUAUACAUACACUAAAUUGACUAUGCCUUUAAACAGCUUGGAAAAUUCCAGAAAAUGAUGUCAUGUCUUUAGAAGCUUCUGAUAGGCUAAUUGACAUCAUUUGAGUCAAUUGGAGGUGUACCUGAGGAUGUAUUUCAAGGCCUACCUUCAAACUCAGUGACUCUUUGGUUGACAUCAUGGGAAAAUCAAAGGAAAUCAGCCAAGACCUCAGAAAACAAAUUGUAGACCUCCACAAGUCUGGUUCAUCCUUGGGAGCAAUUUCCAUCUGUACAAACAAUAGUACGCAAGUAUAAACACCAUGGGACAAUGCAGCCGUCAUCCCGCUCAGGAAGGAGAUGCGUUCUGUCUCCUAGAGAUGAACGUACUUUGGUGCGAAAAGUGCAAAUCAAUCCCAGAACAACAGCAAAGGACCUUGUGAAGAUGCUGGAGGAAACAGGUACAAAAGUAUCUAUAUACAAAGUAAAAAUGAAUCCUAUAUCGACAUAACCUGAAAGGCCUCUCAGCAAGGAAGAAACCACUACUCCAAAACCGCCAUAAAAAAGUCAGACUACGGUUUGCAAUUGCACAUGGGGACAAAGAUCAUACUUUUUGGAAAAAUGUCCUCUACUCUGAUGAAACAAAAAUAGAACUGUUUGCCCAUAAUGACCAUUGUUAUGUUUGGAGGAAAAAGGGGGAGGCUUGCAAGCCGAAGAACACCAUCCCAACCAUGAAGCACGGGGUGGCAGCAUCAUGUUGUGGGGGGGCUUUGCUGCAGGAGGGACUGGUGCACUUCACAAAAUUGAUGGCAUCAUGUGGAAUGAAAAUUAUGUGGAUAUAUUGAAGCAACAUCUCAAGACAUCAGUCAGGAAGUUAAAGCUUGGUCACAAAUGGGUCUUCCAAAUGGACAAUGACCCCAAGCAUACUUCCAAAGUUGUGGAAAAUGGCUUAAGGACAACAAAGUCAAGGUAUUGGAAUGGCCAUCACAAAGCCCUGACCUCAUCCUAUAGAAAAUUUGUGGGCAGAACUGAAAAAGCGUGUGCAAGCAAGGAGGCCUAAAAACCUGACUCAGUUACACCAGCUCUGUCAGGAGGAAUGGGCCAAGAUUCACACAACUUAUUGUGGGAAGCUUGUGGAAGGCUCACCGAAACGUUUGGUCCAAGUUAAACAAUUUAAAGGCAAUGCUAACAAAUACUAAAUGAGUGUAUGCAAACUUCUGACCCAUUGAGAAUGUGAUGAAAGAAAUAAAAGCUGAAAGAAAUCAUUCUCUACUAUUACUCUGACAUUUAACAUUCUUAAAAUAAAGUAGUGAUCCUAACUGACCUAAGACCGGGAAUUUUUACUUGGAUUAAAUGUCAGGAAUUGUGAAAACUGAGUUUAAAUGUAUUUGGCUAAGGUGUAUGUAAACUUCCGACUCCAGCUGUAUUUACAGUGAGUGUGUCACAGUCCUUAGUGUCAGGACCAAACCCAAACAGCGUCUUAUUCAACAACCUGUCAUGACAUGAUGGGUUAGUUGAGAUUGUGAGGUAAGAAUGUGGGUGAGAUUGUGAGGUAAGAUGGUGGGUGAGGUUGUGCGGUAAGAUGGUAGGUGAAGUUGAGGUAAAAUGGUGGGUGAGGUUGUGCGGUAAGAUGGUGGGUGAGGUUGUGCGGUAAGAUGGUGGGUGAGGUUGUGCGGUAAGAUGGUGGGUGAGGUUGUGCGGUAAGAUGGUGGGUGAGGUUGUGCGGUAAGAUGGUGGGUGAGGUUGUGCGGUAGGAUGGUGGGUGAGGUUGUGCGGUAGGAUGGUGGGUGAGGUUGUGCGGUAAGAUGGUGGGUGAGGUUGUGCGGUAAGACGGUGGGUGAGGUUGUGCAGUAAGAUGGUGGUUGAGGUUAUGCAGUAAGAUGGUGGGUGAGCUGAGACUGACUCUUGGGAGGCCAUGGUUUGGGCGACCACACAGUCUUGGGACGAGCGUUGAUAUCCGCUACACGGUCAUUGAAUCUGGCGUGGUCUGUGGUCACAGUGCUGUAUGU